UGGGGAAUAUUGCACAAUGGGCGCAAGCCUGAUGCAGCAACGCCGCGUGAACGAUGAAGGUCUUCGGAUCGUAAAGUUCUGUUGCAGGGGAAGAUAAUGACGGUACCCUGUGAGGAAGCCCCGGCUAACUACGUGCCAGCAGCCGCGGUAAUACGUAGGGGGCUAGCGUUUUCCGGAUUUACUGGGCGUAAAGGGUGCGUAGGUGGUCUUUCAAGUCGGUGGUUAAAGGCUACGGCUCAACCGUAGUUAGCCUCCGAAACUGGAAGACUUGAGUGCAGGAGAGGAAAGUGGAAUUCCCAGUGUAGCGGUGAAAUGCGUAGAUGUUGGGAGGAACACCAGUAGCGAAGGCGGCUUUCUGGACUGCAACUGACACUGAGGCACGAAAGCGUGGGUAGCAAACAGG
Molecule: ribosomal RNA, 403 nt
Filed under: Verrucomicrobiota bacterium
Lineage: Bacteria; Pseudomonadati; Verrucomicrobiota
Description: Verrucomicrobia bacterium partial 16S ribosomal RNA
Rfam family: Bacterial small subunit ribosomal RNA
Source: RNAcentral